GGGUCAGUAGGUUGGUCGUGCCACCGGUACGUACUGGUCUCACUGAUUCCUCCUUCCUGAAGAACCGUAAUGCCAUUAAUUUGGUGUUGCGGGGAAACAGGACUGUUACUUUGAAAAAAUUGGAGUGUUUAAAGCAAGCUAACGCUUGAAUACAUUAGCAUGGAGUAAUGAAAUAGGACGAUCGAUCCUAUUUUGUUGGUUUCUAGGAUUGACGUA
RNAcentral lists this ribosomal RNA (216 nucleotides) under Glomeromycotina sp. RNAcentral describes it as "partial small subunit ribosomal RNA". The stretch from base 40 to 216 matches the Rfam family "Eukaryotic small subunit ribosomal RNA", at positions 686 to 864 of the family's 1831-position model. Lineage: Eukaryota; Fungi; Glomeromycota. The record is from RNAcentral.